CGUUUAUUGGGCCGGGGCUCAAGAGCCGAGUUCUCCGAGUGAGCAAUUCCUGUCCCUUUUAAGGGCUCACAACUCUAAGGGGGUGCACGUGAGAGGGUCAUGAUCGAUUGAGCAAGCAGGGAGUACGUGACUGGGGGAUGCAUGCACUGGUAAUUGGAUCGGAACAAAACAAGAUAGGGAUUUUCACAGUGCUUUUCUAUACAAUGUCUGUAAUCUAUAGAUAACCAAUUAGGUCAGGGGUCGAUCUUUAACUACCAGGCCCAGGGUGUGGCACCGGGCUGUCUGCUUGUGGAUUUCAUUUCUGCAUUUUAGUUUUUACUUUUUCUUUCUUUGGAGGCAGAAAUUGGGCAUAAGACAAAAUGAGGGGUGGUCUCCUCCUUUAGUGGUGUGCCCCUGUAAUCCCAAUUACUCAGGAGGCUGAGGCAGGAGAAUCGCUUGAGCCUGGGAGGCAGAGGUUGUAGUGAGCCAAGAUCGCACCACUGCACUCCAGUCUGGGUGACAGAGUGAGACCCU
RNAcentral lists this long non-coding RNA (513 nucleotides) under Homo sapiens (human). RNAcentral describes it as "HSALNT0209303". The record is from RNAcentral. Lineage: Eukaryota; Metazoa; Chordata; Mammalia; Primates; Hominidae.